GAGUUACCACUCACUCUUCCAAGGAGCAGUAGAUUCGAGCUCUUGGAAGGUGAACUGGAGGUCCUCCCGUCAUGCUGAUAACACUCAUCAAGCAGAAUUUCUCCCUAAACGACAAGAGUGCUUCAAAUAGCUUUAGAAAAGAUAUUUGCACAUGAAGAUGGUAUGCUAAUAAAAAAAGCUUUGGAAAAUAAAUGCACUGAAUUUAAUAAAUCAUUGACUGAACCAGUACGCCGGCGAGGUCCUCGACGCCAUCGCCACGAGCACCCACGCCUUCCACGCGCAGCACCACUCCACCACCGAGAGCGCCCUGGCCUCCGACGCGCGGCACCACCUCGCCGCCGAGAGCGCCCUGGCCUCCGACGUGCAGCACCACCUCGCCACCGAGAGCGCCCUGGCCUCUGACACCCAGCAGCACCCGGCCACCGUCACAACCACCGCGCCAGCCCAGGAAGCGGUGCGGCCCGAGCUGCACCACUUGCGCGGGGAUGACGCCGCGGGGAGUUUCCUGGCCGCCACAGUGAAGAGGGCCGAGGACGCCAUCACCGACGAGUACGACUCGAGGCGGCCGCGGCGGUGCGGGCGGCGGAGCAGGACAUGAGCUGCCUCAUCGACGAGCUCGCCGAGCUGAGGAUCAUGUUCAUAUCUGACGAGAUCAUACCGGAGUUGAACUGUGAGGAUCUGGAGGAGCAGAACCAGAGGCUAAGGGCGGAACUGGACGCCACGACCAAAGAUAUCAAGUGGAAGAUGGAGAAGAUUGCAGAAUUGCAGGAACCAUUUCUUUCCUGAACUCCAGAAUGUUGUCUUACUUUCAGAGUGCUGAACUUUUCAACUCAGCUCUAUAGUAUCUUUAUACAAAUUGACACCAGUAUCGGAAUAUCAGUGCCUAACAAAAAGUUACAGACGCAAGGCCUCACAUACCCAAAAUUUACAGGGGCGUAUCGAAUUUUGUUACUGAAGUGAUCAUCGACAUCAUAUAUGUCCACAGAGACAGCAAGUUGUGAGCACACUGAAAUGAAGCAACCAUACACAGUAUAAAUUCAAAUCAUCUAGAACUAACAUCAGUGUUAGUUUACUUUCAGUUUUCAGAGUGUUGAAUUUUAAUUCAAAGUGUCGUUUUGCAAAUGAACACCGAUAUCAGCUGUUAUAAAAAAAACGGGUUACAAAUAGCAAUGUCGAAUGCUCAAGUCUGGCUGAAGAGGGCGUGAAAUGCAUUUCUACAAAUUACCCUGAAUUGCUUAUAGCCAAAAAUUCUAGCGUCAUGUCAGAACUUUUUCAUUGGAUUGAUCUGAAAUGAAGCUUACAAACAAACGCAACACGGUGUAUAUAUGCAACUGGGAGCAAAGACAGUAUAAAUUCAAAUCAUCUAGAAUCAGCAUCCGGUGUCAGUUUACAUUCAGUUUUCUGAAUGUUGAAUUUUCACCUCCUUCAGAGUGUCGUUUUGCAAAUGAACACCGAUAUUCAGCAGUAAUAAAAAAUAAAUGGGUUACAUAUAGUAAUGUCGAAUGCUCAAGUCUGGCUGAAAAGGGUGUGAAAUGCAUUUUUUUACAAAUUAACCCUGAAUUGCAAGUUUAUAGCCAAAAAAUUACAGCGGCAUGCCGAAUUUUGGUCAUUGGAUUGAAAAAAGGGUUAAUUUGAUAAAUGCCACUCCAAUUAUGGCAUUUUUCGAAGUCUGCAGUGGUGUUCUUCAAAGAUUGCAAAAUUUGCAGUGGCAUUUUUCAAAGUUUGGAAAUUGCAAUGGCAUUUUUAUGAAUCGCCAUAAUUGGAGUGGCAUUUAUCUAAUUAACACCAAUAUCGGUUGUUAGAAAAAAACAGUUAUGGGCAGUAAGUGGAAUUUCCAAAUCCAGAUUGGCUUCGAAUGCAUUUUUUUCAGCCAAAAAUUGGAACUGUAUGCCAACAUAUUGUAUUGACCAUGGACCGCAGUUCCAGCAUAUGCUCAGAGAAACAGUAACAGAGAGCACCUGCCCUGCUUACAGGCCACCAUAGUUCACCUAAAAAGGUUUGAUGAUUGAAUUCAUGUCAAAAGAUUCGAUGCUAGAAUUUUUAACUCAAAUCUUCUCAACACUGAAGAUUUGUGUGUUUUUUAUUUGUCUACUGCCUGAAUGAGGGAGUAUGCGGUGUUGAGAGGAUUUGAGUGGAAAUUCUACAUAUUCACACGAAUGUUUGUUCUUUUUAGCUAGAUUGUUGGUACAUUGAUACUCCUUAACAAUAAAUAAUUACCAAAAAAGCUACCUCCCCUUGCAGUAUGACCCGGUUUGUUUGCUUUCGCCAUCUUGACAUAGUCUUUUGUUGUUUUAGGGUACUUUGGAGGUCAACACACUGGACAUGGCAGGUGGAGAGCAAGCUGGCUGACCAUGAUCUGGCGCUGCAUGAGCUGGAGAAGGGGAGAAGCUCCCAGAGGAAGACCAUCAACAUCUUUAUGCGGUAAUGACGUAUGUGAGAAAUAUUCUGGAUGAGGAAUGGAAAAGGAUGAAAGAUUCAUUUCAAGACCUCAACAAAGAGCAGGUUAACAACAAAGAGCUCCAAGAUAAUCGCCAAGAGUUGAUGCAGGGUUUCGAGAACAUGCCGAUUAGUGGCGGUACCAUUGUUGGAAUAAAAAGGAUGGGCUUAAGCUGCAAGGUUGGUCUCGUAUUGGCAGGAGGAAAUACAGAAGCCAUUGUGGCGUUCGUUUACGACUAUUCAGGUCGAUGAAGACGAUAAGAAUGCACAAGUAGCAAUCGUCAUCAAGACAUGGUCUUAUCCUCAAGACAUGGUCUGGGAGAUGGACGUGCGCGGCAUCGACUGUAUUGUCAAGUUGAUCACGUGGCACUGUGUCACGGCAGACGCCAUCUCAGUGGUAUACGAGCGGGAUGGCCGGGAGGAGCAGACCAAGCAAUGAGGAAACCCAGAAGGAGAGCGCUCAGAGAUAUGUCUGGAGUCAGACGAGUAUCUCACAGGCGUAAAAGGUCGGUUUGGCAAUUACAAUGGAUAUUUCCUUGUCGGAUCGGUUACUUUUGUCAGCAACCGACACACCUUCGGGUCAUAUGGUAUGGGCGAAGGUGCGCCGUUUGAGCUCCCGGUGGCCGGCGGCAGAAUCAUUGGAUUCCAUGGCUGCUCGGGGGGAGGGGGGAGGGGCUCCUCAACGCUCUUGGCACCUACGUCAAGAUUGGCUAACUAUCAAGACUCACCAUGCUAUGUAAUGAGUUUCUUUUGCUUAUGUCAGUUGAUGACCGAAGGACACUCGGUGGAGUGACUUCUAAACUUAAGCUGGAUGCUUGUUCUCAUUUAUAUCCAAAGGAUGUAGUGUGCAUAUGUAGACUUUUUUUGCGAAAAUGCAUAGGUAGACUUUGUUUUGCUACCGUUCAAGUUUAUAAAUCUGGAACAGAUUCUGUUUUGCUAA
Molecule: non-coding RNA, 3376 nt
Organism: Triticum urartu
Lineage: Eukaryota; Viridiplantae; Streptophyta; Magnoliopsida; Poales; Poaceae
Source: RefSeq, a predicted model, not a curated record